This 211-nucleotide unclassified non-coding RNA is filed under the name Hevea brasiliensis (rubber tree). The record is from RNAcentral. Lineage: Eukaryota; Viridiplantae; Streptophyta; Magnoliopsida; Malpighiales; Euphorbiaceae.
AAUAAUUAAAUUAACAUAAUUCAUAAAUUCCAUCUUAUACUAGAUCACUAACCCAUGCAAGAUACAUUUGCACAACUUUUUUGCCACUUCUUUAAAAAACCGUUGAUAAUAAGGUAACCAUAAAACAGCCAUAUGCAUCAAAAAACCAUUAAAUGUAAAUGCAAGAAACAUAGAUUAAAACAGGACUAGCCUAAUAAAGCUCUACCUUAAA